AAUGAUAUGCCUGAUUAAAGGAUUAUUAUGAUAUAAUAAAUAAAGUAAUUUUAAUACUAUCAUUA
This 65-nucleotide transfer RNA is filed under the name Paramblynotus sp. ZJUH 20220012. RNAcentral describes it as "tRNA-Ile". Lineage: Eukaryota; Metazoa; Arthropoda; Insecta; Hymenoptera; Liopteridae. The record is from RNAcentral.